UACGUAGGGAGCGAGCGUUGUCCGGAAUUACUGGGCGUAAAGGGCGCGUAGGCGGGAAAUUAAGUCAGGUGUGAAAACUCCGAGCUCAACUUGGAGAUUGCACUUGAAACUGGUAUUCUUGAGGGCAGGAGAGGAAAGUGGAAUUCCUAGUGUAGCGGUGAAAUGCGUAGAUAUUAGGAAGAACACCAGUGGCGAAGGCGACUCUCUGGGUUAACACUGACGCUGAGGUACGAAAGCUGGGGGAGCGAACGGGAUUAGAUACCCCGGUAGUCCCAGCCGUAAGCGAUGGAUACUAGGUGUUGGAGGUUCGAAUCCUUCAGUGCCGGAGUUAACGCAUUAAGUAUCCCGCCUGGGGAUUACGAUCGCAAGAUUGAA
RNAcentral lists this ribosomal RNA (375 nucleotides) under uncultured bacterium. RNAcentral describes it as "bacterial SSU rRNA". It matches the Rfam family "Bacterial small subunit ribosomal RNA", at positions 524 to 898 of the family's 1533-position model. The record is from RNAcentral.